GGUUUACUAAAACACAUCAACAUGACUCCCCAUUGCCCCCUGCCCAGCCCCCAGACCCUUCAGCCACUGGCCCUCUUGGCCCCCUCUCCUGCUCCUCCUCCUGGUCGGCCAUCCCAGCAGCAGGCAGGCUGCUUUUCUCCCGGGCGCCUCUCAGCUGAUGGGCGGGUGGGGGGGCUUGCAGGGAGGCCUCCGUGUAGGCCUCCGUGAAGCCUGGAUUCGAGUAGGCUGGCCAGCCCCAGGAAGAAGGCUGGCAGUCCGAGUGGCCGCCACAGCUCUCUGCAGCAGACCCUCUUCCCAGGCCAGACAGCUCAGCCUUGGCCAGGGAGAAGAGGAAUCCCUUGAGGUGGUUCCCCCGCCCCUACCCCCUGCAGGGAUUUGACAAGAUGAACCUAAGCACAGCCCACUACACACCCCUCGCAGCUGCAAUCCCUUGAAAAGAGAGACUGCUGAGUAUGUGAGGCAAGAUCCUCGGCAGACUCAGAGUACAUCUUGCCCCUGGUCAUGGCAUUCAGUAACUGGAAUGAGUCCGGAGCGUCUGAAACCCGCGAGCAUAAAUGGGGGGUUACGUUCCUCUCCCUACCUGCACGGUUGACAGGAUACGCAGAUUUGGAUGGUCCAGGAACCUCAUCUGGGAAAGGAACCAUAAGUGGCUCUUAAUUACCAUCCGGGUCCAGUUUUGGGACAGGAAUUGGAAAAUCAGCUUGAACUGCUUAAGGGUCUCAAGCGACAAAGCUUUUCUGGGAGUCUGGCUUCCUGAGGAAGAAGAAGAAGAAGAAGAUGAUGGGUCCCUCCUGGGUCUUGGACACCUUGGCCCUUGGAUGACCUGGACUGUUGGAGAGACUUAUCCUGCCAAUCUUGAAACCAGCCUCCACUGCAAACUCCAGCCAAACGGACCCGACCCUACUUUGUGGAGACAGACCCUAACCACCCCAAUCUGUCCUGUGGCCCUAACCGGAGAGCACUGCACUUACAGCAGGUGGGCCGAGCAAAAGUCCUGAGGCGCUUCCGCA
Hemicordylus capensis (graceful crag lizard) is the source of this 1010-nucleotide long non-coding RNA. RefSeq lists it as uncharacterized. The record is from RefSeq and is a predicted model, not a curated record. NCBI's taxonomy places the organism in Eukaryota, Metazoa, Chordata, Lepidosauria, Squamata, Cordylidae. The transcript is spliced from 6 exons.